Molecule: long non-coding RNA, 791 nt
Organism: Mesocricetus auratus (golden hamster)
Lineage: Eukaryota; Metazoa; Chordata; Mammalia; Rodentia; Cricetidae
Exons: 3
Source: RefSeq, a predicted model, not a curated record
CAGUCGUGACACCGCAGAAAGCCAUCUGAGUCACUGCAAGUUCCCACACAUGGGGAGAAGAAACUCAGAUUUGGCCCCCACCUCUAGUUCCCCCCUUGUCUCCCCGAGACAGCCUGGGGUCAACCAAGAGUUUUCACCAGAAAUGCCAAACAUGAAUAUUCUGCCGUGAAAUGGAAGACGGCAUGGAAAUUUCUGAGCACAGAAAAUGGCAACCAAUUGGUGUGAGCUUUGUACUUCUCCUUCCUGCUCUCUAAGACAGAACGCAGUGACUGAAACCAAGAAGAGAGAGUCAUCAAUGAGAACAGGCCACUCUAUGAGUGCUACUUAGAGCUUUUCUCUACCACCACCAACCCCAAACAAGGAAGCCUCUGAAUCCCUGCUACAGAAACUCUGGAGGCACCUUAGUCUUACAGGGAAAUUGCCAGAACUGCCCUUCAAAACUCUGUAACUUCUUCCUCUCCAGAAAAAAGAUCAAGCAAGCAGAGGAGUUCUGAGGUUUAGUUGCUCAGUGAACUGAGGCCUGGGAAUCCUCACGUCAGCACAGAUUGACAAGUGCCUUCAGAAGGAUAAGCUGGAAGAAAAGAUAGAGUCCAUGCUCACACAUAGUUUAUGACAGUAUAUAUUGCUAGGAAUGUUUGAUUUUGUUCUCGCUGUUGUUUAUCUGUUUCUAAAGUAUGCAUUAAAGACAUAUUUAUAGCCGGGCGUUGGUGGCACACAGCUUUAAUCCCAGCACUCAGGAGGCAAAGACACAUGGAUCUCUGUGAGUUCGAGGCCAGCCUGACAUACAGAGU